CUCGCUUCUCGGCCUUUUGGCUGAGAUCCAAGUAUAUAUUUGUUCCAAUUACCUUAACAUCUGAUAUGUCCUACUUCGAAAUUGAACUUAUCUUUUACCUAUGAGAACAAAGUGUUAGGGGCUUGCUUUAUCACUGUCACGGGUUGGCCUGGUAUUGCAUCACACCAGGAUCGUUCUUGUGGAG
Molecule: small nuclear RNA, 184 nt
Organism: Pomacea canaliculata
Lineage: Eukaryota; Metazoa; Mollusca; Gastropoda; Architaenioglossa; Ampullariidae
Product: U2 spliceosomal RNA
Exons: 1
Source: RefSeq, a predicted model, not a curated record